Molecule: ribosomal RNA, 1491 nt
Filed under: human gut metagenome
Description: bacterial LSU rRNA
Rfam family: Bacterial large subunit ribosomal RNA
Source: RNAcentral
AGAGUGCGUAACAGCUCACUGGUCGAGUGGACAUGCGCCGACAAUACACGGGGCUAAGCUGGACACCGAAGCGGCGGGAUUUUGAUUUACAGAAUCGGUAGGGGAGCUUCCCAUGGGCGGAGAAGCCGGAGGGCGACCGACGGUGGAGCGCAUGGGAGUGAGAAUGCUGGCAUGAGUAGCGAGAGACGAGAGAGUAACUCGUCCGCCGUGAACCCGAGGUUUCCUGGGCAAGGCUAAUCCUCCCAGGGUCAGUCGGGGGCUAAGGCGAGGCCGGGAGGCGUAGCCGACGCGCAGCAGGCAGACAUUCCUGCACCGCGCACGCGGCGCUACGACCGACGGGGCGACGGAUGGGGGUGGCUCGGCGGGGUUCUGGACGUCCCCGUGAUGGAGCGCGGCCCGCGGACCAGGGAAAUCCGGUCCGCACGAGGGCGAGGCUCCGGACGAAGCACUUAAGCGAAGCGAGUGAGCCCGAGGUCCCUAGAAAAACCCCUAGGCAGGCGCGUGCGCGCCCGUACCGCAAACCGACACAGGUGGGUGGGUAGAACAUACCGAGGCGAUCGGGUCAACCAUGGUCAAGGAACUCGGCACAAUGGCCCCGUAACUUCGGGAGAAGGGGUGCCCGCGCGUACGUGAACCGGCUUGCCCGGGGAGCGGAGGCGGGCCGCAGUGGAGAGGCCCAAGCGACUGUUUACCAAAAACACAGGACUCUGCCAAGCCGCGAGGCGAAGUAUAGGGUCUGACGCCUGCCCGGUGCCGGAAGGUCACGCGGAGGAGUUAGCCGUCUCGGCGAAGCCCCGAAGCCAAGCCCCGGUAAACGGCGGCCGUAACUAUAACGGUCCUAAGGUAGCGAAAUUCCUUGUCGGGUAAGUUCCGACCUGCACGAAAGGCGCAACGACUUGGGCGCUGUCUCGACCAUGGACCCGGUGAAAUUGCACUGGUCGUGAAGAUGCGACUUACCCGCGGAAGGACGGAAAGACCCCGUGAACCUUCACUGCAGCUUGGCAUUGGCCGCUGGUCCCGCGUGUAGAGGAUAGGCAGGAGGCACAGAUCCGGAGGCGCCAGCCCCCGGGGAGCCGCCCUUGGAAUACUGCCCUCGCGCGACCGGCGUCCUAACCCGAGGCCGUCAACCGGCUCGGGGACCGUGCCAGGCGGGCAGUUUGACUGGGGCGGUCGCCUCCCAAAGAGUAACGGAGGCGCGCGCAAGGUCCGCUCAGGACGGUCGGCAACCGUCCGAAGAGCGCAAGAGCACAAGCGGGCCUGACUGCGAGGCAGACAAGCCGAGCAGGGACGAAAGUCGGCUCUAGUGAUCCGGCGGCCCCGAGUGGAAGGGCCGUCGCUCAACGGAUAAAAGGUACUCCGGGGAUAACAGGCUGAUCUUGCCCAAGAGUCCACAUCGACGGCAAGGUUUGGCACCUCGAUGUCGGCUCAUCGCAUCCUGGGGCUGGAGCAGGUCCCAAGGGUACGGCUGUUCGCCGUUUAAAGCGGUACGCG